This 1371-nucleotide ribosomal RNA is filed under the name uncultured bacterium. RNAcentral describes it as "bacterial SSU rRNA". It matches the Rfam family "Bacterial small subunit ribosomal RNA". The record is from RNAcentral.
AGAGUUUGAUCCUGGCUCAGGACGAACGCUGGCGGCGUGCCUAACACAUGCAAGUCGAACGGAGUAAGCCCUUCGGGACUUACUUAGUGGCGAACGGGUGAGUAACGCGUGAGGAACCUGCCUUUCAGUGGGGGACAACAGUUGGAAACGACUGCUAAUACCGCAUGAAGCAGUUUGGAGGCAUCUCCGAGCUGCCAAAGAUUUAUUGCUGAAAGAUGGCCUCGCGUCUGAUUAGAUAGUUGGUGAGGUAACGGCCCACCAAGUCGACGAUCAGUAGCCGGACUGAGAGGUUGAACGGCCACAUUGGGACUGAGAUACGGCCCAGACUCCUACGGGAGGCAGCAGUGGGGAAUAUUGGGCAAUGGGGGAAACCCUGACCCAGCAACGCCGCGUGAAGGAAGAAGGCCUUCGGGUUGUAAACUUCUUUUACCAGGGACGAAGAACGUGACGGUACCUGGAGAAAAAGCCACGGCUAACUACGUGCCAGCAGCCACGGUAAUACGUAGGUGGCAAGCGUUGUCCGGAUUUACUGGGUGUAAAGGGCGUGUAGGCGGAGCUGCAAGUCAGAUGUGAAAUCCCGGGGCUCAACCCCGGAACUGCAUUUGAAACUGUAGCCCUUGAGUAUCGGAGAGGCAAGCGGAAUUCCUAGUGUAGCGGUGAAAUGCGUAGAUAUUAGGAGGAACACCAGUGGCGAAGGCGGCUUACUGGACUGUAACUGGCGUUGAGGCUCGAAAGCGUGGGGAGCAAACAGGAUUAGAUACCCUGGUAGUCCACGCCGUAAACGAUGAUUACUAGGUGUUGGGGCCCAACAGGGCUUCGGUGCCGCCGCAAACGCAUUAAGUAAUCCACCUGGGGAGUACGUUCGCAAGAAUGAAACUCAAAGGAAUUGACGGGAGCCCGCACAAGCAGUGGAGUAUGUGGUUUAAUUCGACGCAACGCGAAGAACCUUACCGGAGCUUGACAUCCUGCUGACGGUCCGAGUAAUGUUGGACGUUCCUUCGGGACAGCAGAGACAGGUGGUGCAUGGUUGUCGUCAGCUCGUGUCGUGAGAUGUUGGGUUAAGUCCCGCAACGAGCGCAACCCUUACUGUCAGUUGCUACGCAAGAGCACUCUGGCAGGACUGCCGUUGACAAAACGGAGGAAGGUGGGGACGACGUCAAAUCAUCAUGCCCCUUACGCCCCGGGCUACACACGUACUACAAUGGCGCAAACAAAGGGAAGCGAUAGAGCGAUCUGGAGCAAAUCCCAUAAAAGGCGUCCCAGUUCGGAUUGCAGGCUGAAACCCGCCUGUAUGAAGUUGGAAUUGCUAGUAAUCGUAGAUCAGCAUGCUACGGUGAAUACGUUCCCGGGCUUUGCACACACCGCCCGUCA